UGACGAAAGGACUGGCGGUAUGGGAUGGGGAUGCGUCUGAUUAGCUUGUUGGCGGGGUAACGGCCCACCAAGGCGACGAUCAGUAGGGGUUCUGAGAGGAAGGUCCCCCACAUUGGAACUGAGACACGGUCCAAACUCCUACGGGAGGCAGCAGUGAGGAAUAUUGGUCAAUGGGCGCAAGCCUGAACCAGCCAAGUAGCGUGAGGGAAGACUGCCCUACGGGUUGUAAACCUCUUUUGUUUGGGAAUAAAGUGCGGGACGCGUCCCGCAUUGCAUGUACCAUUUGAAUAAGGACCGGCUAAUUCCGUGCCAGCAGCCGCGGUAAUACGGAAGGUCCGGGCGUUAUCCGGAUUUAUUGGGUUUAAAGGGAGCGCAGGCCGUGGGUUAAGCGUGUCGUGAAAUUCCGUCGCUCAACGGCGGACGUGCGGCGCGAACUGGUCCACUUGAGUGCGCGGGACGUUGGCGGAAUUCGUGGUGUAGCGGUGAAAUGCUUAGAUAUCACGAAGAACUCCGAUUGCGAAGGCAGCUGACGGUAGCGCAACUGACGCUGAGGCUCGAAAGUGCGGGUAUCGAACAGGAUUAGAUACCCUGGUAGUCCGCACGGUAAACGAUGGAUGCCCGCUAUUCGCCCACCUGGGCGAGUGGCCAAGCGAAAGCGUUAAGCAUCCCACCUGGGGAGUACGCCGGCAACGGUGAAACUCAAAGGAAUUGACGGGGGCCCGCACAAGCGGAGGAACAUGUGGUUUAAUUCGAUGAUACGCGAGGAACCUUACCCGGGCUUGAAUUGCAGAGGAAGGAUUUAGAGAUAAUGACGCCCUUCGGGGCCUCUGUGAAGGUGCUGCAUGGUUGUCGUCAGCUCGUGCCGUGAGGUGUCGGCUUAAGUGCCAUAACGAGCGCAACCCCUCUCCGUAGUUGCCAUCGGGUGAUGCCGGGCACUCUGCGGACACUGCCACCGUAAGGUGUGAGGAAGGUGGGGAUGACGUCAAAUCAGCACGGCCCUUACGUCCGGGGCUACACACGUGUUACAAUGGGGCAUACAGAGCGCCGGCGGCCGGCAACGUCCGUCCAAUCGCAAAAGUGUCCCCCAGUUCGGACUGGGGUCUGCAACCCGACCCCACGAAGCUGGAUUCGCUAGUAAUCGCGCAUCAGCCAUGGCGCGGUGAAUACGUUCCCGGGCCUUGUACACACCGCCCGUCAAGCCAUGAAAGC
This 1209-nucleotide ribosomal RNA is filed under the name metagenome. RNAcentral's name for it is "bacterial SSU rRNA". It matches the Rfam family "Bacterial small subunit ribosomal RNA", at positions 198 to 1411 of the family's 1533-position model. The record is from RNAcentral.